GACGAACGCUGGCGGCGUGCUUAACACAUGCAAGUCGUACGGUAAGGCCCUUUCGGGGGUACACGAGUGGCGAACGGGUGAGUAACACGUGAGUAACCUGCCCACAACUUUGGGAUAACGCUAGGAAACUGGUGCUAAUACUGGAUAUGUGCUCCUGCUGCAUGGUGGGGGUUGGAAAGCUCCGGCGGUUGUGGAUGGCCUUGCGGCCUAUCAGCUUGUUGGUGGGGUAGUGGCCUACCAAGGCGGCGACGGGUAGCCGGCCUGAGAGGGUGACCGGCCACAUUGGGACUGAGAUACGGCCCAGACUCCUACGGGAGGCAGCAGUGGGGAAUAUUGCACAAUGGGCGCAAGCCUGAUGCAGCAACGCCGCGUGCGGGAUGACGGCCUUCGGGUUGUAAACCGCUUUCAGCAGGGACGAAGCUUUUUGUGACGGUACCUGCAGAAGAAGCACCGGCUAACUACGUG
RNAcentral lists this ribosomal RNA (465 nucleotides) under uncultured bacterium. Its description in RNAcentral is "partial 16S ribosomal RNA". It matches the Rfam family "Bacterial small subunit ribosomal RNA", at positions 28 to 507 of the family's 1533-position model. The record is from RNAcentral.